Molecule: ribosomal RNA, 245 nt
Filed under: uncultured bacterium
Lineage: Bacteria
Description: partial 16S ribosomal RNA
Rfam family: Bacterial small subunit ribosomal RNA
Source: RNAcentral
UACGGAGAGUGCAAGCAUUAAUCGGAAUUAUUGGGCGUAAAGGGCGCGUAGGCGGGAAGAUAAGUCAGAUGUGAAAUUUCGGAGCUCAACUUCGGAGCUGCAUUUGAAACUAUAUUUCUUGAGGGUGGACGGAGAAAACGGAAUUCCACGUGUAGCGGUGAAAUGCGUAGAUAUGUGGAAGAACACCUGUGGCGAAAGCGGUUUUCUAGUUUAUACCUGACGCUGAGGCGCGAGAGCAAGGGGAG